This 67-nucleotide transfer RNA is filed under the name Glyphostoma sp. JEU-2016. RNAcentral's name for it is "tRNA-Met". The record is from RNAcentral. Lineage: Eukaryota; Metazoa; Mollusca; Gastropoda; Neogastropoda; Clathurellidae.
UGUAAAAUAAGCUAAGACAAGCUGUUGGGUUCAUACCCCAAAUAUGAAUAAUUCUAUUCUUUUACAA